Molecule: ribosomal RNA, 669 nt
Filed under: uncultured archaeon
Lineage: Archaea
Description: bacterial SSU rRNA
Rfam family: Archaeal small subunit ribosomal RNA
Source: RNAcentral
AUUCCCUACGGGGUGCAGCAGGCGCGCAAACUUUACAAUGCGAGCAAUCGUGAUAAGGAAACCCUGAGUGCCUGUCGAUGCAGGCUGUUCAUAUAUCUAAAUCAUAUGUGAAGAAAGGGCAGGGCAAGACCGGUGCCAGCCGCCGCGGUAAUACCGGCUGCUCGAGUGAUGGCCACUAUUACUGGGUUUAAAGCGUCCGUAGCUUGACUGUUAGGUCUCUUGGGAAAUCUUCACGCUCAACGUGAAGGCGUCUAAGAGAUACCGGCAGUCUUGGAACUGGGAGAGGUAAACCGUACUUCGGGGGUAGGAGUGAAAUCUUGUAAUCCUCGAGGGACGACCUAUGGCGAAGGCAGUUUACCAGAACAGCUUCGACAGUGAGGGACGAAAGCUGGGGGAGCAAACGGGAUUAGAUACCCCGGUAGUCCCAGCCGUAAACAAUGUGCGUUAGGUGUGUCGGUAACCACGUGUUACUGAUGCGCCGAAGAGAAAUCGUGAAACGCACCACCUGGGAAGUACGGUCGCAAGGCUGAAACUUAAAGGAAUUGGCGGGGGAGCACCACAACAGGUGGAGCCUGCGGUUUAAUUGGAUUCAACGCCGGACAUCUCACCGGAUAAGACAGCUGAAUGAUUGUCAAUCUGAAGGUUUUACAUGACUAGCUGAGAGGAGGU